This 961-nucleotide long non-coding RNA is filed under the name Homo sapiens (human). RNAcentral's name for it is "long intergenic non-protein coding RNA 2532". The record is from RNAcentral. Lineage: Eukaryota; Metazoa; Chordata; Mammalia; Primates; Hominidae.
GUACAAUAGAGCUUAUAGGCUAAUGAGAAGACAGGAAGAAACAACAGGAACACAUAUAGCUGGAAUGCAGAUGGGAUCUGUGCUACUUACGCUAGCCAUGGGAUGAUUAGAACAAGAUAAGAGACAUGAGGAAGACUUCUUCAAGGAGGUGCUCAAGCCAUGUUUUGGAAAAGAGAACUCAAGGUCCUCUUCUCCCUGAAGGCUGUCACAGUUCCUGUGCAGAGAGAGAGGGCACUGCAGCACCCAGGCGCUGACUGCCUUUUGUCAGUCUCAUUUGCAGGCCCCCAGCUGGAGAACCCAGGAGGAAGAGGAAAAAAGUUUUUUCCUCCUCUACACUCCCCAUGCAUGACUAAAGAGUAGGAGGAGUCAGCAAGACAUAUAUAGUACCCAGGAGGUGGACAAACAACUGCCUUGGUGGAAACUCUGUCCUUUCUGGACUUAUCCUGGUGCCACUGAGACUGUGCAGAUUUAGAUCUACAAUCCACCUGGAAUUGAUUUUUGUAUAUGGAGUGAGGUCCCACACUUACAGGGAAAGCAUCACCCGAAAGUGAGAAUGCCUAGAGGCAGGAAUCAUGGAGGCUUCCUUAACCGUCUGUCUGCAACAGCAGGUGCUAGAGAUGACACUGCAGAGUAGAGAACAAAGGAAUCUUAGUAAUUGUUCAAUCCAAUCUCCACACUUUAAAGAUGAAGAAACUGGUAUUGAGAAAAAUACACAGCUUAUCCAAGGUUGCACUGCUGGUUGGUAGCUGAGAUGAAUUUAGAACCCACAUCUGAUGACUACACCAUAUUGCUCCCAGUUUUCCUGUCUGUUCCACAUGUAAAAGUCUGACUCUUCACUUCUCCUUUGAGUAUAUAGACUUUUAACAUUUUUGUAUGUCAAGAUGGACUUUUCCUCAUACCCAGCCCCUGCCUUUUCUCCUCCCUUCAUACCUUGCAGGAUCUUUAACAGAAUUUAAAAGGA